GGUGCCAAUGUUCCUGGGGACAAGUGUAAGAAUUGUGUGUGUGGUGACAGUGUGGAUGCCCAAAGCCAUCUACAUAUCAUUGAGUGUCAACCUACUGAAUGUGACACUCACUACCAGCAGGGCUAUGAUCAUCAAGCCGUUCCUGGGCAGUGUUGUGGGAAGUGUGUACAGACAAGCUGUGUGGUUAUGCUGCCAGAUAAUACCACACACACUAUUCAGACAAGUGUCUCAAGUUUGAGUGCGUAAAGAUCAUGGGCCAACUCAUCCCAAUUGAGGCUAAGACCGUGUGCCCUGACUUCCACCCAGAAGAUUGCCUACCCGUUGCUGAAGCAUUGUUCCAGGAGGUCUUCAAGCACUGAUCUUCCGGAGAAGCUGGGGGUCAUCGUCAGCCUUACUUCUUAGUCUAACAGGCAGGUGGAGAGGAUGAACCAAGAGCUGGGGAGGUUCCUGAGGAGUCACUGCCAGGACCGGCAGGGGGUGUGGGCCCAAUUCCUUUCCUGGGCAGAAUACGCCCACAAUUCAUCGCCUCACUCCUCCAUCGGGCCGACUGCCUUCCAAUGUGUUCUGGGAUACCAGCCAGCCCUGGCUCCGUGGACCCCGAGCCAGAUCGAAGCUCCUGCAGUAGAUGAGGGUUCAGGUGCACGGAGGAGGUUUGGAAUGAUGCCCAGGUGAGGCUCCAGCACGCCAUUCGCCGCCAAAAGGAGCAGGCGGAUCACCAUUGCAUUGAGGCUCCCGUGUUCGCGUCUGGCUCUCCACCAGGAACCUCCCACUCCGCCUGCCCUGUAUGAAGCUGAGCCCCCAGGCCGUUGGUUAAUGGUCCCUUGGCUGAUGCCGUCCCCCAUGACACCCCUCCACCUCCCCUGGACAUCGAGGGGAGCCCUGCCUGUGCCAUCAGAUCCCUUCUGGAUUCCUGACGUCAUGGGGGCCGGCUCCAGUAUCUGGUGGACUGGGAGGGGUACGGUCCAGAGGAGCGGUGUUGGGUCCUGGUGGAUGAUAUUCUAGAUCCCGAGAUUUCCACCUUCGCCGCCCGGACCAGCCUGUUCCUUGCCCUUGGGGCCGUCCCCCUGGCCGGCAUCCCCCUGGACCACUGGUCCUGACAACCAUUACGCACACCUGCGCCUCAUCAUUAUGCACACCUGAACUUCAUCACUAUCUUGACUACUUCCCCUUUAUUUAGCACUCUGUAGCCUCACUCAUCAUUGGUUCUCUCACUCAUUGGUUCUGUUUUCUUGUCCAGACACUUCUUUUGUUUUGUAUCUCUCCAUGUUCGUUAUUAUUAAACUCACCAACUGCACCUGCUUCCAGACUCCUGCAUCUCCGUUACAGGCAUACAGGAUGCAGUUCCUGGAUCAGCUUGGUGAGUCACACCAGCCUAUGAAUACCAACUAUGAAUACAAUUAGUUGGAUUACUCCUUUGCGCAACAGCAGAGAGACAAAUGUUUGCAUUUGGACAAUGUGUGCUCAAGAUACUGAGCCAAUAAAGUGGAUUAAUGUAUUAUUCAUCUGUUAUACAUUGCCAAAGUUUGGGAUGGCCAUGGAGAUGCACAUUUUUGUUCUAUCAAAUCUCACUACUUAUGAUGAAUGUAUCUGUAAUUAUACAUUAAAAUCUGCUUUUGGGAUAAUGGGGAUCCUAAUACAAUACCAAAUGCUUAAACCACUGGAGUGGAGAUGCUGCCUGAGAUAGAUACUGAAUGAGGAAGGAAGACACCUCUCCUUGUAAAAAAGGAAAUCACAUAAGACUAAGUAACUUCUCUUGUGCAAUAUAGAUGUGUAGGGGUCACGUUCUGACCUCAGUUCCUUUUUUUAUGUCUUUGUGUUAGGUUGUUCAGGGUGUGAGUUGGGGUGGGU
Oncorhynchus tshawytscha (Chinook salmon) is the source of this 1848-nucleotide long non-coding RNA. RefSeq lists it as uncharacterized. The transcript is spliced from 6 exons. Lineage: Eukaryota; Metazoa; Chordata; Actinopteri; Salmoniformes; Salmonidae. The record is from RefSeq and is a predicted model, not a curated record.